This is a long non-coding RNA of Centropristis striata (black sea bass), 563 nucleotides long. RefSeq lists it as uncharacterized. Lineage: Eukaryota; Metazoa; Chordata; Actinopteri; Perciformes; Serranidae. The transcript has 3 exons. The record is from RefSeq and is a predicted model, not a curated record.
AUUAACACACCUUAAAUUCACUUAUUUAAUACUUGAGGGAUUAUUCGUCUUACUCACUUUGUUAUAUUGUUUAUUUUUUUUCAGGUAAAGGUGGCCAUACCAAACAAACGACUUGUUGACGACAGAGACGCUGUGUUUAGCCCCGGAGCAGAUGAGAAGGAUGGACGACUAGAGGAGCAGCAGGAGAGCGAUGGUGGCCUUUCUUUCACUAGGCUAUGGCGGGGCUCCUCUGUGUCUGUGCUACUCUUUGAGCAGCUGAGAGUGGCUGUCAAUCAUCUCAGGCAGAACCAGGACCACAGCAGACCACUGAGCCACUCUCAGCCUCAACCCCCCCCUGCCUCUCCACCCCGACCCCCGCCAACACCACCAGGUCCUGCCCCCACCCGACCAGCACGGAGGACCUUGUUACCAUCUUCUUCUUCUGUGCUGGAGGCUUUGGGAAGCUCCUCACACACACCACAGACAGCUGAGAAACUAUUCUAAAGCCAUUGACUUUAUUACACUGAAUACAGUUUGUUACUACCAUACUGUUUAUCUUCUGAAUAAAUAUCUUAAAUAAAAAA